ACCUGAGUGGCUCAGAGGUUAAAGUGUCUGCCUGCAAUGCAGGAGAUCCAGGUUUGAUCCCUGGGUUGGGAA
This 72-nucleotide transfer RNA is filed under the name Ovis aries (sheep). It matches the Rfam family "tRNA". Rfam says of the family: Transfer RNA (tRNA) molecules are approximately 80 nucleotides in length. Their secondary structure includes four short double-helical elements and three loops (D, anti-codon, and T loops). The record is from Rfam by way of RNAcentral. Lineage: Eukaryota; Metazoa; Chordata; Mammalia; Artiodactyla; Bovidae.